UACGUAGGGGGCGAGCGUUGUCCGGAUUUAUUGGGCGUAAAGAGCGUGUAGGCGGCCAGGUAGGUCUGCUGUGAAAACUCGAGGCUCAACCUCGAGACGUCGGCGGAAACCAUCUGGCUAGAGUCCGGAAGAGGAGAGUGGAAUUCCUGGUGUAGCGGUGAAAUGCGCAGAUAUCAGGAAGAACACCCGUGGCGAAGGCGGCUCUCUGGGACGGUACUGACGCUGAGGCGCGAAAGCCAGGGGAGCAAACGGG
This 253-nucleotide ribosomal RNA is filed under the name uncultured bacterium. RNAcentral describes it as "partial 16S ribosomal RNA". It matches the Rfam family "Bacterial small subunit ribosomal RNA", at positions 524 to 776 of the family's 1533-position model. The record is from RNAcentral.